RNAcentral lists this ribosomal RNA (983 nucleotides) under uncultured bacterium. RNAcentral's name for it is "bacterial SSU rRNA". It matches the Rfam family "Bacterial small subunit ribosomal RNA", at positions 28 to 1014 of the family's 1533-position model. The record is from RNAcentral.
GAUGAACGCUAGCGGCAGGCUUAACACAUGCAAGUCGAGGGGUAGGAGAAGCUUGCUUUUCUGAGACCGGCGCACGGGUGCGUAACGCGUAUGCAAUCUACCUUUCACAGAGGGAUAGCCCAGAGAAAUUUGGAUUAAUACCUCAUAGUAAUACGACUUGGCAUCAAGAUGUAUUUAAAGAUUUAUCGGUGAAAGAUGAGCAUGCGUCCCAUUAGCUAGUUGGUAUGGUAACGGCAUACCAAGGCAACGAUGGGUAGGGGUCCUGAGAGGGAGAUCCCCCACACUGGUACUGAGACACGGACCAGACUCCUACGGGAGGCAGCAGUGAGGAAUAUUGGACAAUGGGCGCAAGCCUGAUCCAGCCAUGCCGCGUGCAGGAUGACGGUCCUAUGGAUUGUAAACUGCUUUUAUACAGGAAGAAACCCCUCUACGUGUAGAGACUUGACGGUACUGUAAGAAUAAGGAUCGGCUAACUCCGUGCCAGCAGCCGCGGUAAUACGGAGGAUCCAAGCGUUAUCCGGAAUCAUUGGGUUUAAAGGGUCCGUAGGCGGUCAGGUAAGUCAGUGGUGAAAGCCCAUCGCUCAACGGUGGAACGGCCAUUGAUACUGUCUGACUUGAAUUAUUAGGAAGUAACUAGAAUAUGUAGUGUAGCGGUGAAAUGCUUAGAGAUUACAUGGAAUACCAAUUGCGAAGGCAGGUUACUACUAAUAUAUUGACGCUGAUGGACGAAAGCGUGGGUAGCGAACAGGAUUAGAUACCCUGGUAGUCCACGCCGUAAACGAUGGAUACUAGCUGUUGGGCGCAAGUUCAGUGGCUAAGCGAAAGUGAUAAGUAUCCCACCUGGGGAGUACGAACGCAAGUUUGAAACUCAAAGGAAUUGACGGGGGCCCGCACAAGCGGUGGAGCAUGUGGUUUAAUUCGAUGAUACGCGAGGAACCUUACCAAGGCUUAAAUGUAGAUUGACCGUUUUGGAAACAGAGCUU